RNA transcript from Pseudopipra pipra, 1739 nucleotides. It is a transcript of the gene named phosphatidylinositol glycan anchor biosynthesis class L, with no coding region annotated. The transcript has 7 exons. NCBI's taxonomy places the organism in Eukaryota, Metazoa, Chordata, Aves, Passeriformes, Pipridae. The record is from RefSeq and is a predicted model, not a curated record.
GCCGUUUCCCGCCGGCGCGGCGGGCCCGAGGGGCGGUCGCUAUGGCAGCGGCGGCGCUGCUGGCGCUGCUCGCGGGGCCGCUCCUGCUCCUCCUCCUCCUCUUCGGGGGCGCGCGCCGCCUGCGCCGAGCGCGCUCUCGCCCGGGGGGGUCCCGCGCGCUCCCGCGGGGCGUGCGCGCGCUCGUGGUGACGGCGCACCCCGAUGACGAGUCGCUGUUCUUCGCCCCCGCCCUGCUCGGCCUGCGCAGGGCCGGGGCCGCCCCCGCCGUGCUCUGCUGCUCCGCAGGAAAUUAUUACAAUCAAGGAGAGAUCCGUAAGAAAGAGCUGGAGCAGAGUUGUUGUGUCCUGGGGAUUCCUGCAUCCCAUGUCACAGUCAUUGAUCACAGGGAUCUUCCAGAUAAUCCUGCUGUGGAAUGGGACACACAUCUCCUCGCCACCCUUGUGCUGAAGCACAUAGAGGCCAAGAACAUCAACCUGGUGGUGACCUUUGAUGCGGGAGGAGUGAGUGGCCACACAAACCACAUCUCUCUUUACUCUGCUGUCAGGUACCUGCAUUCAGAGAGGAAGUUACCUGAAGGCUGCCCAAGGUCGCUUAGUGGAUUCCAGUGUUAUCUCAGAGGCCUCUGGCUAAGUUGCUUUUUCAGGGCCUCCAGCUGGAACACCUGUUUGGCUCCCUAACACAGUCACAACAGGCUCUGAAAAGCUUCACCUGCUGGUGUCACAGGAGUGGACUCCUCGAUGGCAGCACUGCUCCCACCCUGCUUGGCAGGGAGCAGCCUGUUUCUCUGAACCCUUUUUCAUCUCUCCCUGGACUUGUACAUUCCUUCCCUGCUUCAUUUCAUCUCACAUUCCCAUGCAGAACAGGCUUUGCUGUCAGCACAUGGAUAUCCUUGUGAUAUCACUGGCACAGAAGGCUCUUAGAGUGCCCUUUUUUUGGGAGGCUGAAUGCCCCCAUGCCACCCCUUUGCCUGAUCUGACCGAGGAGGGCGCAGCAGGUCAGAUAGAUCCACACAGAAAUCAUUCACAGUGGUUUUUAUCCCCUAUUGCUGAGCUUUGGGGAACAAAAGGUGUAAUUGCUGCAUGAAUUAAUAUUUCUCAGGGAAAAAAAAUGAGGAAAGGGAGAGCAUGUUUUGUUAACAGAGCAGUCCAGGCUUCAGAGGGCAGUUGUGGGUAACCCUGUGUCAGGCCUCUCUUCCCAUCAUUGCAAGUAGGAAUUCACAUGGCAUUGCCAGAGUCCAUUAACAACCAUCCAGGAAAGGAAAGAUCCAUUGCCCCGUGUUUGCUCUAGCCUUGUCUUCCCUUGUUUGAAAAGCAAACGGGUGGCCAGUGGGAAUGCUGAGGACAAGAGCAAGAGGAUCCAUAUCUAUUCCUUUCCUCUGCCACAGUGCAGCACUAAUUCUUCUCUCUCAAACUACCCACAGCAGCAGCCCAGAGGGUCUCUGCAGAGAAGGGGGAAGAGAGUUCCCCCACUCGUGGCACAUCACAAGUUUCCUUCCAAGUUUGGAAACAAGAAAUUCUGUAGUGGGAGUAGAAGAACCCUCAGGGCACUUCUGUUUGUGAGCAAGUGCAGCACUUGUCCCCGCAGAGCAUCCUUUGCAGGAGCAGCUGAGACCGCUGGCAGCCAAACAGCAACUGCUCUGCUGUCACUUGUCCAGGGUGCUGUGUGCUCGUGCUGGAGUCAGUGAAUCUCUUGAGGAAGUACAUUUCCUUCCUGGAUGUGCCCAUUUCCUGCCUCCUGCC